AGAGUUUGAUCCUGGCUCAGGAUGAACGCUGGCGGCGUGCCUAACACAUGCAAGUCGAACGAAGCGCCUUAAGAGAUUCUUCGGAUGAUCUUUUGGUGACUGAGUGGCGGACGGGUGAGUAACGCGUGGGUAACCUGCCCUGUACAGGGGGAUAACAGCCAGAAAUGGCUGCUAAUACCGCAUAAGCGCACAGGAAGACAUCUUCCAGUGUGAAAAACUCCGCGG
This 225-nucleotide ribosomal RNA is filed under the name uncultured bacterium. Its description in RNAcentral is "partial 16S ribosomal RNA". It matches the Rfam family "Bacterial small subunit ribosomal RNA", at positions 8 to 214 of the family's 1533-position model. The record is from RNAcentral.